Molecule: non-coding RNA, 83 nt
Organism: Gymnopus androsaceus JB14
Lineage: Eukaryota; Fungi; Basidiomycota; Agaricomycetes; Agaricales; Omphalotaceae
Source: the annotation of a GenBank genome assembly
AGCAGCAUGGCGCAGUGGUAGCGCGCGGGGCCCAUACAAAAUAAUUAACCCCGAGGUCACUUGAUCGAAACAAGUUGCUGCUA